This 137-nucleotide ribosomal RNA is filed under the name uncultured eukaryote. RNAcentral's name for it is "partial 18S ribosomal RNA". It matches the Rfam family "Eukaryotic small subunit ribosomal RNA", at positions 1299 to 1458 of the family's 1831-position model. The record is from RNAcentral.
UGGUGGAGUGAUUUGUCUGGUUAAUUCCGUUAACGAACGAGACCUCGACCUGCUAACUAGUACCUUGAAUCUCGAUUCAAGGGACUUCUUAGAGGGACUAUCGGAUGUUCAGCCGAAGGAAGUGCGAGGCAAUAACA